RNAcentral lists this ribosomal RNA (395 nucleotides) under uncultured bacterium. RNAcentral's name for it is "partial 16S ribosomal RNA". It matches the Rfam family "Bacterial small subunit ribosomal RNA", at positions 523 to 918 of the family's 1533-position model. The record is from RNAcentral.
AUACGUAGGGUACAAGCGUUAAUCGGAAUUACUGGGCGUAAAGCGUGCGCAGGCGGUUUUGUAAGCCAGAGGGGAAAUCCCCCGGCUCAACCUGGGGACUGCCUUUGGUACUGCAAGGCUAGAGUACGGCAGAGGGGGAUGGAAUUCCGCGUGUAGCAGUUUAAUGCGUAGAUAUGCGGAGUGACACCGGUGGCGAAGGCAAUCCCCGGGGCCUGUACGGACGCUCAUGCACGAAAGCGUGGGGAGCAAACAUGAUUAGAUACCCAGGUAGUCCACGCCCUAACCGAGGUCAACUGGUUGUUGGGUCUUCAUUGACUCAGUAACGAAGCUAACGCGUGAAGUUGACCGCCUGGGGAGUACGGCCGCAAGGUUGAAACUCAAAUGAAUUGGCGGGG